GCAAAGGCUGGGAACAGGACUAGUAAGUCUUUAAGCGAGGUUACAGAGAGUCAGGUAGGUGAAAACUGACGCUGGCGCAAUGACUGAAUGGACCUGGGAGCCGCAAACCCAAAGACUGGUUUAAUAACUCGAGUAGGCUUUGACGCAGAGGGUAGCGUUAUCAGAACCCAGGGUAUCGCUCUAGCAGAUAGGGCCGUACCUGAAUGAGAUGGUCGCUGAGACCAACAAGGGUGGCACCGCGAAGCUAAGCCUCUCGCCCCUUAG
This 264-nucleotide non-coding RNA is filed under the name Chloroflexota bacterium. RNAcentral's name for it is "Chloroflexi bacterium T-box sequence". It matches the Rfam family "T-box leader". From Rfam's summary of the family: Uncharged tRNA acts as the effector for transcription antitermination of genes in the T-box leader family. The record is from RNAcentral. Lineage: Bacteria; Bacillati; Chloroflexota.